GACGAACGCUGGCGGCGUGCUUAACACAUGCAAGUCGAACGCUGAACCACUUUCGGGUGGGGAUGAGUGGCGAACGGGUGAGUAACACGUGGGUAAUCUGCCCUGCACUCUGGGAUAAGCCUUGGAAACGAGGUCUAAUACCGGAUAUCACUUUCUCUCGCAUGGGAGAUUGUUGAAAGUUCUGGCGGUGCAGGAUGAACCCGCGGCCUAUCAGCUUGUUGGUGGGGUAGUGGCCUACCAAGGCGACGACGGGUAGCCGGCCUGAGAGGGUGACCGG
This 277-nucleotide ribosomal RNA is filed under the name uncultured bacterium. RNAcentral's name for it is "partial 16S ribosomal RNA". It matches the Rfam family "Bacterial small subunit ribosomal RNA", at positions 28 to 307 of the family's 1533-position model. The record is from RNAcentral.